AGUGAACGCUGGCGGUAGGCCUAACACAUGCCAGUCGAACGGCAGCACAGUAAGAGCUUGCUCUUACGGGUGGCGAGUGGCGGACGGGUGAGGAAUACAUCGGAAUCUACUUUUUCGUGGGGGAUAACGUAGGGAAACUUACGCUAAUACCGCAUACGACCUACGGGUGAAAGCAGGGGAUCUUCGGACCUUGCGCGAUUGAAUGAGCCGAUGUCGGAUUAGCUAGUUGGCGGGGUAAAGGCCCACCAAGGCGACGAUCCGUAGCUGGUCUGAGAGGGUGAUCAGCCACACUGGAACUGAGACACGGUCCAGACUCCGACGGGAGGCAGCAGUGGGGAAUAUUGGACAAUGGGCGCAAGCCUGAUCCAGCCAUACCGCGUGGGUGAAGAAGGCCUUCGGGUUGUAAAGCCCUUUUGUUGGGAAAGAAAAGCAGCAGGUUAAUACCCCGCUGUUCUGACGGUACCCAAAGAAUAAGCACCGGCUAACUUCGUG
RNAcentral lists this ribosomal RNA (492 nucleotides) under uncultured bacterium. RNAcentral describes it as "partial 16S ribosomal RNA". It matches the Rfam family "Bacterial small subunit ribosomal RNA", at positions 29 to 507 of the family's 1533-position model. The record is from RNAcentral.